AGUGGGUGUAACGUACCCACUAGCCUACGACGGGUACGGGUUGUGAGAGCAAGAGCCCGGAGAUGGAUUCUGAGACAUGAAUCCAGGCCCUACGGGGUGCAGCAGGCGCGAAAACUUUACAAUGCGGGCAACCGCGAUAAGGGGACAUCGAGUGCUGGGUUACAAACCUGGCUGUUGGGCUGCCUAAAAAGCAGUCUAUAGCAAGGGCCGGGCAAGACCGGUGCCAGCCGCCGCGGUAACACCGGCGGCUCGAGUGGUAACCGCUGUUAUUGGGUCUAAAGGGUCUGUAGCCUGCCGGCUAAGUCUCUUGGGAAAUCUGGCAUCUCAAGUGUCAGGCUGCCAGGGGAUACUGGUCAGCUUGGGACCGGGAGAGGUGAGAGGUACCUCAGGGGUAGGGGUGAAAUCUUGUAAUCCUUGAGGGACCACCAGUGGCGAAGGCGUCUCACCAGAACGGAUCCGACGGCAAGGGACGAAAGCUAGGGGCACGAACCGGAUUAGAU
This 500-nucleotide ribosomal RNA is filed under the name uncultured microorganism. RNAcentral describes it as "bacterial SSU rRNA". It matches the Rfam family "Archaeal small subunit ribosomal RNA", at positions 234 to 734 of the family's 1478-position model. The record is from RNAcentral.